UCCCGUAAUCAAGUUUCCUGCUGGAGUGGGGCUGUUGAUUAUUGUCUAGCCCUGCCCAUGAUGACUGAUUGAAAGGACAUUACAAAAUAGACUACGUCAAUUCUCCACAAGUCAAAAUCAGAUCAACAGACAGGGACCUUCAGCCUUCUCUUGGGAAUAUGCCAGAUAAGCCAUAACAAGAAAAAAUGGUGUUUUGCCCCUGCGGUUGUGAAGAGGAUGCUGUGGAGGUGGCAGCAUGAACGUGUCACACAGACAUUGGCUGAACUACUCGGCUUCUACACUUGCCCUCAGAGUUCACAUAUGGUUAAGUGCACAGGUGUCCAUCCAGGUUCAUGCUGAUGCUGGUAACAAGAGGAAAACAUGCUGAUUGGUAAGUGAGAUCCCUGCUCAACAAAAAUCCACACAGCACAACAAGUAAGCCUAGUUUGUGGUAUCAAAUGUAAAAUGUAAGUUUCAUCAAAAAGUUGUAGAACACAUCUGAAUAAAUUGCAGGCCAUCAAAGUAGUGAAUGGGCAGGGAAAACACAACCAGUAGGCUUAUGAAUUACUUUGACUCAGC
Long non-coding RNA from Engraulis encrasicolus (European anchovy), 558 nucleotides. RefSeq lists it as uncharacterized. The transcript has 4 exons. NCBI's taxonomy places the organism in Eukaryota, Metazoa, Chordata, Actinopteri, Clupeiformes, Engraulidae. The record is from RefSeq and is a predicted model, not a curated record.